UGGGGUUGUGGCUCAGUGGCAGAGCGCUUGCCUAACACAUGAGGCACUGGGUUUGAUCCUCAGCACCACAA
This 71-nucleotide transfer RNA is filed under the name Marmota monax (woodchuck). RNAcentral describes it as "tRNA.Leu". Lineage: Eukaryota; Metazoa; Chordata; Mammalia; Rodentia; Sciuridae. The record is from RNAcentral.